CCCUCUCUGAAACUCUAUGCUACUAUGGCAGCAUAAUGAGAAUUCUCAGAAGUAGUCAAAACUAACAUGACUUUCUUUGUGUUCCAUCUGAGGCACAUGGCAUACAAUGCUUGAGGCUUUAUCUCUAUGUCAUUUCCUACCCACCCAUUUCUAACCAUUCUUCAUUUCUCAAACAUUCCUCUGCUACUCUCUGAAUUAGCCAGAGCUUUCCCAGGAGCCAGUCUUCCCAGUUUCAUUAUGAUGGAACAUCACCUGAAACCUUGAAAGUAUAUGUUCCUUCUGUUCAGAAAGAGCUACGUAUAAAGCUCAAAGAUACUGAAAGGUGACAUCAUAGCCUUUCUCACAGACGUACCGAUCUUGAAGGAUUAGUUUCUCCAUGUAAUGAAUGCUUCCCUCUGCAUGAACACUUUCAAAGGCUGUUCUGUUCCAUCAUUGUCCUCUGAAAUCACUCAAGGCAGAAGGCACACCGUCCAGACUGGAAGAAGGCCUGGCAGUAGCCAGAUCUAAGGGAGAAGCAACUGAGAGAGAGGUCACUCAUAAAACUACUGAGACGUCAUUUGAACCCCUGGAUCAAGCCCACAUGGAACAUUUUUGUUGAAUAAACUAGUACAUUUCUUUUUAUCACAAAACUCAUCUGGAUGGCUUUCCUGUUUGCAGAAGGAAUCCUAAUAGUGCAGAGAUGUACCACUGAGGACCAGCAGCUGGGUGACUCAGCUGAGGUCACGCAAUCAGUCCUUCCCGUGGGCGUCAGUCCUCAACCGGUGCUAUGUUCCAUACCAUUGUCCUGGGAGUCAAAUGGUAAAGGGAUUAUAAAACCAUGCUGAAUUUCCCCCCCCCUUUCCUCCUCAUAUAGUUCUUCUCCACAACAGGAAAUUCCAAAAGACCAAU
Molecule: long non-coding RNA, 888 nt
Organism: Mus musculus (house mouse)
Lineage: Eukaryota; Metazoa; Chordata; Mammalia; Rodentia; Muridae
Product: predicted gene, 33130
Exons: 3
Source: RefSeq, a predicted model, not a curated record